RNAcentral lists this ribosomal RNA (458 nucleotides) under uncultured bacterium. Its description in RNAcentral is "partial 16S ribosomal RNA". It matches the Rfam family "Bacterial small subunit ribosomal RNA", at positions 338 to 795 of the family's 1533-position model. The record is from RNAcentral.
CCUACGGGGGGCUGCAGUGGGGAAUAUUGCACAAUGGGGGAAACCCUGAUGCAGCGACGCCGCGUGAGUGAAGAAGUAAUUCGUUACGUAAAGCUCUAUCAGCAGGGAAGAAACACUGACCUUACGGUCAGCAGACGGUACCUGAGUAAGAAGCCCCGGCUAACUACGUGCCAGCAGCCGCGGUAAUACGUAGGGGGAAAGCGUUAUCCGGAUUUACUGGGGGGAAAGGGGGGGUAGACGGGUCGACAAGUCUGGAGUGAAAUGACGCAGCUUAACUGCGGAACUGCUUUGGAAACUGGCGAACUAGAGUGCGGGAGGGGUAAGCGGAAUUCCUAGUGUAGCGGUGAAAUGCGUAGAUAUUAGGAGGAACACCGGUGGCGAAGGCGGCUUACUGGACCGUAACUGACGUUGAGGCUCGAAAGCGUGGGGAGCAAACAGGAUUAGAUACCCUAGUAGUC